Molecule: ribosomal RNA, 496 nt
Filed under: uncultured bacterium
Lineage: Bacteria
Description: partial 16S ribosomal RNA
Rfam family: Bacterial small subunit ribosomal RNA
Source: RNAcentral
GAUGAACGCUGGCGGCGUGCCUAAUACAUGCAAGUCGAGCGAACAGACGAGGAGCUUGCUCCUCUGACGUUAGCGGCGGACGGGUGAGUAACACGUGGAUAACCUACCUAUAAGACUGGGAUAACUUCGGGAAACCGGAGCUAAUACCGGAUAAUAUAUUGAACCGCAUGGUUCAAUAGUGAAAGACGGUUUUGCUGUCACUUAUAGAUGGAUCCGCGCCGCAUUAGCUAGUUGGUAAGGUAACGGCUUACCAAGGCAACGAUGCGUAGCCGACCUGAGAGGGUGAUCGGCCACACUGGAACUGAGACACGGUCCAGACUCCUACGGGAGGCAGCAGUAGGGAUUCUUCCGCAAUGGGCGAAAGCCUGACGGAGCAACGCCGCGUGAGUGAUGAAGGUCUUCGGAUCGUAAAACUCUGUUAUUAGGGAAGAACAAAUGUGUAAGUAACUAUGCACGUCUUGACGGUACCUAAUCAGAAAGCCACGGCUAACUACGU